This 465-nucleotide ribosomal RNA is filed under the name Vreelandella stevensii. RNAcentral describes it as "partial 16S ribosomal RNA". It matches the Rfam family "Bacterial small subunit ribosomal RNA", at positions 338 to 795 of the family's 1533-position model. Lineage: Bacteria; Pseudomonadati; Pseudomonadota; Gammaproteobacteria; Oceanospirillales; Halomonadaceae. The record is from RNAcentral.
CCUACGAGGGGCUGCAGUGGGGAAUAUUGGACAAUGGGGGCAACCCUGAUCCAGCCAUGCCGCGUGUGUGAAGAAGGCCCUCGGGUUGUAAAGCACUUUCAGUGAGGAAGAACGCCUGGUGGUUAAUACCCAUCAGGAAAGACAUCACUCACAGAAGAAGCACCGGCUAACUCCGUGCCAGCAGCCGCGGUAAUACGGAGGGUGCGAGCGUUAAUCGGAAUUACUGGGCGUAAAGCGCGCGUAGGUGGCUUGAUAAGCCGGUUGUGAAAGCCCCGGGCUCAACCUGGGAACGGCAUCCGGAACUGUCAAGCUAGAGUGCAGGAGAGGAAGGUAGAAUUCCCGGUGUAGCGGUGAAAUGCGUAGAGAUCGGGAGGAAUACCAGUGGCGAAGGCGGCCUUCUGGACUGACACUGACACUGAGGUGCGAAAGCGUGGGUAGCAAACAGGAUUAGAUACCCUUGUAGUC